This 376-nucleotide ribosomal RNA is filed under the name Draconarius sp. ZZ962. Its description in RNAcentral is "partial 16S ribosomal RNA". The record is from RNAcentral. Lineage: Eukaryota; Metazoa; Arthropoda; Arachnida; Araneae; Agelenidae.
CUCAAUGAAAUUCAAUAGCCGCAACAUUUGUGCUAAGGUAGCAUAAUCAUUUGUCUUUUAAUUAAAGACUAGAACGAAAGAUUUAACAUUUUUAUUUCUUUCUUAAAUAUAACUAUUUAAAUUAUUUUAAAUAUAAAAAAAUAUUUAUAUAUAAAGAAGACGAUAAGACCCUAUUGAACUUAACUAAAGUUUAACUGGGGUAGUUAAUUAAAUAUAAUUUUAAUUAUAAUUUCAUAAAUAACCUAAUAAAAUUAAAAUAUCAAGUUACCAUAGGGAUAACAGCGUAAUAAUUUUCUUAAGCUCUUAUUUAAAAAAUCAUUUGCGACCUCGAUGUUGAAUUAAUAAUCUAUUAAAUGCAAUAACUAAUAAGAAAGUC